CCUACGGGAGGCAGCAGUAAGGAAUAUUGGUCAAUGGGCGGAAGCCUGAACCAGCCAUGCCGCGUGCAGGAAGACGGCCCUACGGGUUGUAAACUGCUUUUGUACCGGAAUAAACCUUGAUAUGUAUAUCAAGCUGAAUGUACGGUAAGAAUAAGGAUCGGCUAACUCCGUGCCAGCAGCCGCGGUAAUACGGAGGAUCCAAGCGUUAUCCGGAUUUAUUGGGUUUAAAGGGUGCGUAGGUGGCUUAUUAAGUCAGGGGUGAAAGACGGUAGCUUAACUAUCGCAGUGCCUUUGAUACUGAUGAGCUUGAAUCCACUAGAGGUAGGCGGAAUGUGACAAGUAGCGGUGAAAUGCAUAGAUAUGUCACAGAACACCAAUUGCGAAGGCAGCUUACUAUGGUGGUAUUGACACUGAGGCACGAAAGCGUGGGGAUCAAACAGGAUUAGAUACCCUGGUAGUCCACGCCCUAAACGAUGAAUACUCGAUGUUGGCGAUAUACGGUCAGCGUCUAAGCGAAAGCGUUAAGUAUUCCACCUGGGGAGUACGCCGCAAGGGUUGAAACUCAAAUUGAAUUGACGG
RNAcentral lists this ribosomal RNA (579 nucleotides) under uncultured bacterium. RNAcentral describes it as "bacterial SSU rRNA". It matches the Rfam family "Bacterial small subunit ribosomal RNA", at positions 338 to 916 of the family's 1533-position model. The record is from RNAcentral.